AGAGUUUGAUCCUGGCUCAGAUUGAACGCUGGCGGCAUGCCUUACACAUGCAAGUCGAACGGUAACAGGUCUUCGGAUGCUGACGAGUGGCGAACGGGUGAGUAAUACAUCGGAACGUGCCCGAUCGUGGGGGAUAACGGAGCGAAAGCUUUGCUAAUACCGCAUACGAUCUACGGAUGAAAGCGGGGGAUCUUCGGACCUCGCGCGGACGGAGCGGCCGAUGGCAGAUUAGGUAGUUGGUGGGAUAAAAGCUUACCAAGCCGACGAUCUGUAGCUGGUCUGAGAGGAUGAUCAGCCACACUGGGACUGAGACACGGUCCAGACUCCUACGGGAGGCAGCAGUGGGGAAUUUUGGACAAUGGGGGCAACCCUGAUCCAGCCAUGCCGCGUGCAGGAUGAAGGCCUUCGGGUUGUAAACUGCUUUUGUACGGAACGAAAAGACUCUGGUUAAUACCUGGGGUCCAUGACGGUACCGUAAGAAUAAGCACCGGCUAACUACGUGCCAGCAGCCGCGGUAAUACGUAGGGUGCAAGCGUUAAUCGGAAUUACUGGGCGUAAAGCGUGCGCAGGCGGUGAUGUAAGACAGAGGUGAAAUCCCCGGGCUCAACCUGGGAACUGCCUUUGUGACUGCAUCGCUGGAGUGCGGCAGAGGGGGAUGGAAUUCCGCGUGUAGCAGUGAAAUGCGUAGAUAUGC
This 694-nucleotide ribosomal RNA is filed under the name uncultured bacterium. RNAcentral describes it as "bacterial SSU rRNA". It matches the Rfam family "Bacterial small subunit ribosomal RNA", at positions 8 to 699 of the family's 1533-position model. The record is from RNAcentral.